This 848-nucleotide ribosomal RNA is filed under the name Chloridium crousii. RNAcentral's name for it is "partial large subunit ribosomal RNA". It matches the Rfam family "Eukaryotic large subunit ribosomal RNA", at positions 65 to 943 of the family's 3401-position model. RNAcentral also lists the same sequence under 1 other name. The record is from RNAcentral. Lineage: Eukaryota; Fungi; Ascomycota; Sordariomycetes; Chaetosphaeriales; Chaetosphaeriaceae.
CCAACAGGGAUUGCCUCAGUAACGGCGAGUGAAGCGGCAACAGCUCAAAUUUGAAAUCUGGUCCUCUGGGCCCGAGUUGUAAUUUGCAGAGGAUGCUUCGGGCGCGGCGCCUUCCAAGUCCCCUGGAACGGGGCGCCAUAGAGGGUGAGAGCCCCGUACGGUUGGCCGCCAAGCCUGUGUGAAGCUCCUUCGAAGAGUCGAGUAGUUUGGGAAUGCUGCUCUAAGCGGGAGGUAGACCCCUUCUAAAGCUAAAUACUGGCCAGAGACCGAUAGCGCACAAGUAGAGUGAUCGAAAGAUGAAAAGCACUUUGAAAAGAGGGUUAAACAGCACGUGAAAUUGUUGAAAGGGAAGCGCUUGCGACCAGACGUGCGCCGGGGUGCUCAGCGGGUGUUCUCACCCGUGCACUCACCCCGACGCAGGCCAGCGUCGGUUCGGAGGGGGGGAUAAAUGCACCUGGAACGUGGCUCCCUCGGGAGUGUUAUAGCCAGGCGCGCCAUGCCCCCCACCGGACCGAGGUACGCGUUCUGCAAGGACGCUGGCGUAAUGGUCUCCAGCGACCCGUCUUGAAACACGGACCAAGGAGUCGAGGUUUUGCGCGAGUGUUUGGGUGGUAAACCCGCACGCGUAAUGAAAGUGAACGUAGGUGAGAGCUUCGGCGCAUCACCGACCGAUCCUGAUGUUUUCGGAUGGAUUUGAGUAAGAGCGUAGGGCCUCGGACCCGAAAGAUGGUGAACUAUGCUUGGAUAGGGUGAAGCCAGAGGAAACUCUGGUGGAGGCUCGCAGCGGUUCUGACGUGCAAAUCGAUCGUCAAAUCUGAGCAUGGGGGGCGAAAGACUAAUCGAACCAU